RNAcentral lists this ribosomal RNA (305 nucleotides) under uncultured bacterium. RNAcentral describes it as "bacterial SSU rRNA". It matches the Rfam family "Bacterial small subunit ribosomal RNA", at positions 338 to 656 of the family's 1533-position model. The record is from RNAcentral.
CCUACGGGGGGCAGCAGUGGGGAAUAUUGGGCAAUGGAGGAAACUCUGACCCAGCAAUGCCGCGUGAAUGAAGAAGGUCUUCGGAUUGUAAAGUUCUUUAGUCAGGGAAGAAGUCAAUGACGGUACCUGAAGAAUAAGCUCCGGCUAACUACGUGCCAGCAGCCGCGGUAAUACGUAGGGAGCAAGCGUUGUUCGGAAUGACUGGGCGUAAAGGGUGCGUAGGCGGUUGUACAAGUUAGAAGUGAAAUACCCAGGGCUUAACUCGGGUGCUGCUUCUAAAACUGUAUGACUUGAGUGCAGUAGAG